This 910-nucleotide ribosomal RNA is filed under the name uncultured archaeon. Its description in RNAcentral is "bacterial SSU rRNA". It matches the Rfam family "Archaeal small subunit ribosomal RNA", at positions 8 to 924 of the family's 1478-position model. The record is from RNAcentral.
UUGAUCCUGCCGGAGGUCACUGCUAUUGGGAUUCGACUAAGCCAUGCGAGUCGCGAGGGUUCGGCCCUCGGCUGACGGCUCAGUAACACGCGGAUAAUCUGCCCUUAGGUGGAGGAUAACCUCGGGAAACUGAGAAUAAGACUCCAUAGAUCUAGGAGGCUGGAAUGCACUUAGAUCAAAAACUUCGGUGCCUAAGGAUGAGUCUGCGGACUAUCAGGUAGUAGUCAGGGUAAUGACCUGACCAGCCUACGACGGAUACGGGUUGUGAGAGCAAUAACCCGGAGAUGAUAUCUGAGACACGAUAUCAGGCCCUACGGGGCGCAGCAGGCGCGAAAACUUCACACUGUGCGAAAGCACGAUGAGGGAAUCCCAAGUGCUGGCUCGUAAGAGUCAGCUGUUUUUCUGUCUAGAAAACAGAGAGAGUAAGAGCUGGGUAAGACGGGUGCCAGCCGCCGCGGUAAUACCUGCAGCUCAAGUGGUGGCCGCUAUUAUUGGGCCUAAAACGUUCGUAGCCGGUCUAGUAAAUGCCUGGGUAAAUCGUACGGCUUAACCGUACGAAUUCCGGGUAGACUGCUGGACUUGGGACUGGGAGAGGCUAGAGGUACUCCUGGGGUAGAGGUGAAAUUCUGUAAUCCUAGGGGGACGACUAGUGGCGAAGGCGUCUAGCUAGAACAGGUCUGACGGUGAGGAACGAAGCCCUGGGGCGCAAACGGGAUUAGAUACCCCGGUAGUCCAGGGUGUAAACGCUGCUUGCUUGAUGUUAGUCGGGCUCCGAGCCCGAUUAGUGUCGGAGAGAAGUUGUUAAGCAAGCUGCCUGGGGAGUACGGCCGCAAGACUGAAACUUAAAGGAAUUGGCGGGGGAGCACCGCAACGGGUGGAGCGUGCGGUUUAAUUGGAUCAACGCCGGAAA